Molecule: ribosomal RNA, 460 nt
Filed under: uncultured bacterium
Lineage: Bacteria
Description: partial 16S ribosomal RNA
Rfam family: Bacterial small subunit ribosomal RNA
Source: RNAcentral
GACGAACGCUGGCGGCGUGCUUAACACAUGCAAGUCGAGCGGUAAGGCCUCUUCGGGGGUACACGAGCGGGGGACGGGUGGGUAACAAGUGGGUGACCUGCCCUCAGCUCUGGGAUAAGCAUGGGCAACUGGGUCUAAUACCGGCUAUGACCUUUCCUCGCCUGGGGUUUGGUGGUAGGUUUUUUCGGCUGGGGAUGGGCCGGCGGCCUGUCAGCUUGUUGGUGGGGUGAUGGCCUACCAAGGAGAGGAUGGGUGGCCGGCCUGGGAGGGCGGCCGGCCACGCUCUGACUUAGACACCGGCCUGACUCGUGCGGCAGGCAGCAGGGAGGUAGAUUGCGCGAUGGGCGCAAGCCGGACGCAGCCCCGCCGCGUGGGGGAGGACGGCCGUCGGGUUGUAACCUUCGUUCGUCCCCGACGGAGUGUGACGGUAGUGGGAGAAGAAGCACCGGCUAACUACGUG